This 312-nucleotide long non-coding RNA is filed under the name Elaeis guineensis (African oil palm). Its description in RNAcentral is "long non-coding RNA (EGUI_LNC019673)". Lineage: Eukaryota; Viridiplantae; Streptophyta; Magnoliopsida; Arecales; Arecaceae. The record is from RNAcentral.
AGACCGAAGUUGUCGAGGCUCUCAUAGGCAAACCAUUGCUGGAAGGCCCCCUCUAGACCCAUGAUUUGCACUCCCGAUCUCAAUGGCCGAGAGAAAUCAACCUUGACGUAGGCCCAGGCGAAUUUGACUCUCUUCUCCACCAUGCAGUCGUCCACGAAGGAGAACUCUCCGGCCAGACGAAGGAGUCUCUGCAGCGCCGCCUCACCCCAGAACUCCAUCAAGAGCUGCGGCAGCCUGACUUAAAUAAAAACCAAGCUGAUCGCCCCCUCCAUCGAAAAGAAUCCAGGGCGCCAAGACUCCACUGCCACCACC